Molecule: Y RNA, 104 nt
Filed under: Microcebus murinus (gray mouse lemur)
Lineage: Eukaryota; Metazoa; Chordata; Mammalia; Primates; Cheirogaleidae
Description: Y RNA (ENSMICG00000029586.2)
Rfam family: Y RNA
About the family: Y RNAs are components of the Ro ribonucleoprotein particle (Ro RNP), in association with Ro60 and La proteins. The Y RNAs and Ro60 and La proteins are well conserved, but the function of the Ro RNP is not known.
Source: Rfam by way of RNAcentral
GGUUGGUUCUCUGAGUGCAGUGGUGUUACCAACUAAUUGAUCACAAUCAGUUACAGAUCCCUUUGUUCCUUCUCACUCUCGCUGUUUCACUUGACCAGCCUUAA